This 712-nucleotide ribosomal RNA is filed under the name uncultured Lachnospiraceae bacterium. RNAcentral describes it as "bacterial SSU rRNA". It matches the Rfam family "Bacterial small subunit ribosomal RNA", at positions 28 to 740 of the family's 1533-position model. Lineage: Bacteria; Bacillati; Bacillota; Clostridia; Lachnospirales; Lachnospiraceae. The record is from RNAcentral.
GAUGAACGCUGGCGGCGUGCCUAACACAUGCAAGUCGAACGAAGCAAUUAAGAUGAAGUUUUCGGAUGGAAUCUUGAUUGACUGAGUGGCGGACGGGUGAGUAACGCGUGGAUAACCUGCCUCACACUGGGGGAUAACAGUUAGAAAUGACUGCUAAUACCGCAUAAGCGCACAGUGCCGCAUGGCAGUGUGUGAAAAACUCCGGUGGUGUGAGAUGGAUCCGCGUCUGAUUAGCCAGUUGGCGGGGUAACGGCCCACCAAAGCGACGAUCAGUAGCCGACCUGAGAGGGUGACCGGCCACAUUGGGACUGAGACACGGCCCAAACUCCUACGGGAGGCAGCAGUGGGGAAUAUUGCACAAUGGGCGAAAGCCUGAUGCAGCGACGCCGCGUGAGUGAAGAAGUAUUUCGGUAUGUAAAGCUCUAUCAGCAGGGAAGAAAAUGACGGUACCUGACUAAGAAGCCCCGGCUAACUACGUGCCAGCAGCCGCGGUAAUACGUAGGGGGCAAGCGUUAUCCGGAUUUACUGGGUGUAAAGGGAGCGUAGACGGCGAAGCAAGUCUGAAGUGAAAACCCAGGGCUCAACCCUGGGACUGCUUUGGAAACUGUUUUGCUAGAGUGUCGGAGAGGUAAGUGGAAUUCCUAGUGUAGCGGUGAAAUGCGUAGAUAUUAGGAGGAACACCAGUGGCGAACGCGGCUUACUGGACGAUAAC